RNAcentral lists this long non-coding RNA (373 nucleotides) under Vigna radiata. RNAcentral's name for it is "long non-coding RNA (VRAD_LNC010033)". Lineage: Eukaryota; Viridiplantae; Streptophyta; Magnoliopsida; Fabales; Fabaceae. The record is from RNAcentral.
UUUAACAAAAGAUAAGAAAAUCCUACUCUGGUGAUGACGACAUCCAUCAGUAGAUGCUAUCUUAGCUCCUUAUCCCAUGCUAUCAUCAAAAUCUUCCUCAUCCUCUUCUUCUUCCUCUUCCUCAUCAUCUUCAUCAUCAUCAUCUACAUCAUCCUCCAUAACUGAAGCUUCAGCUGCUCGAGCCUCCCCACCAGCCUGCGUCUGUUCAUCUGGCCAUGCCAUGCGAGUGCUAAAAUCCUCCAUCAUCCACCUAUGUCAAGGAGGUGUAUCAUACAUCCUUAUAAAUCUCUGCAGUGGCCACCUACCCUUUAUACAGAGCCUGCAUCCUAGACUCCAUCAAUGACAUGUACAAAUCUCUAGUCUGAAAGGGCUC